RNAcentral lists this ribosomal RNA (443 nucleotides) under uncultured bacterium. RNAcentral describes it as "partial 16S ribosomal RNA". It matches the Rfam family "Bacterial small subunit ribosomal RNA", at positions 338 to 795 of the family's 1533-position model. The record is from RNAcentral.
CCUACGGGAGGCAGCAGUGGGGGAUAUUGGACAAUGGGGGGAACCCUGAUCCGGCGACGCCGCGUGAGUGAAGAAGUAUUUCGGUAUGUAAAGCUCUGUCAGUAGGGAAGAAAGAAAUGACGGUACUUGACCAAGAAGCCCCGGCUAACUACGUGCCAGCAGCCGCGGCAAUACGUAGGGUGCAAGCGUUAGCCGGAAUUACGGGGUGUAAAGGGAGCGUAGACGGUUAAGUAAGUCUGGAGUGAAAGGCCGGGGCCCAACCCCGGGACUGCUCUGGAAACUAUUGAACUUGAGUGCAGGGGAGGUAGGCGGAAUUCCUGGUGUAGCGGUGAAAUGCGUAGAUAUUAUGAGGAACACCGGUGGCGAAGGCGGCUUACUGGACUGUAACUGACGUUGAGGCUCGAAAGCGUGGGGAGCAAACAGGAUUAGAUACCCUAGUAGUC